Molecule: long non-coding RNA, 1826 nt
Organism: Lates calcarifer (barramundi perch)
Lineage: Eukaryota; Metazoa; Chordata; Actinopteri; Centropomidae
Exons: 5
Source: RefSeq, a predicted model, not a curated record
UUUGUGUUGCUGUGGUGAAAGUACCUCUGUGACGCAUGAAUACAAAAAUAGUGUGUCAACACACAGAAAGGUCCCCUUCCAAAAAUGUGUUGUUACCACUUAUUAAACCAAAAAUGUGAAUUUCCCCCAAUGCCAUCUACCUUAUCGUGCAAGUAUUAUACCUGCUAAACAUCAGCAUUUUAGCCCUAUCAUUGUGAGCAUGUUGCCAUUGCUAACAUUAGCAUUUAGCUUAAAGCGCCAGCCUUACAGUCAUCCACCAAAGCACAUUCUAUAUGCAAGGAGACAACAUAUUCACUUUUGAUCUACAUAAACUUUUUUCAGUUAAUUUAGUUUUCUGCAUGUCUAGCUACAGCUAGUUAGUGAUCACGGUGCUGAGACCAAUGCAUCAUCAGGAGGCUGCCUUAUUAACAAAUUCUUUGUAGGUGCUCAGUAUCAAUUAAAUGCACAUGGCUUUCUCACUCUUGGCUCUUUUACGUUACAUGGACAUGACAAUGGUUAAACCACAAAUGGAAACAAGCCACAAACCAGCAAGAAGACAGCAAUUCAGGUUGGACUAUACUUGAGAUUCUCCACCAAAGCACAGUAAUCAUUUCCAACUGAUUUUGAGCCAAGGCCUCGCAGGUGAAAUCAUUCUGCUGCAGUCACUUCUCUUCACUACCCUCGAGGACAGAAGCAGCAGCGGACCCCAACACACUCCCCUCUUAGUGGGUAGUUCUUGAUAAAUGUGAUUCUCCUAACUGCUGCACAGAGACUCAUUUGAGGUGUCACCACGUCAUCCAUGAUCACAGAGAGUGUUCGUACAAUGAAGAAGUUCUUUGAAACCAGGACUGAGGCCUCCAGGAUUCAAACUCCAACCAUUAAAUCACAGAGAGAAGAGACAGAUGUGAAGACAUUUCCAGAAGGUCUUCAGCUGCUGUUGUCUUCUCCUCCUGCAGAUACAAGAACACGUGUUACUGAACUGAUCAAAAUAUUUUUGUGAGUUACUAUUCUGAUUUUUUUUAAUGUUUUUGAUGCCUUAGUAUACUUUGACUUUUUUUAUGCCUUACUAUACUAAGACAUUUUUUGACAGUUUUCUAUGCUUACUGUACUAUGACAUUUUAUUAUGCCAUACUAUAUUAUGACUUUUUUUGGUGAUUUUUGACCCUUGCUAUACUAAGACAUUUUUUUGACCACAUACUAUACUGUGACAUUUUGUGACAGUUUUCUAUGCCAUACUAUAUUAUGACAUUUUUUGAUGGUUUUUGACACCUUACUGUACUAGAACAUUUUUUGACAGUUUUCUAUGCUUACUGUACUAUGACAUUUUAUUAUGCCAUACUAUAUUAUGACUUUUUUUGGUGAUUUUUGACCCUUGCUAUACUAAGACAUUUUUUUGACCACAUACUAUACUGUGACAUUUUGUGACAGUUUUCUAUGCCAUACUAUAUUAUGACAUUUUUUGAUGGUUUUUGACACCUUACUGUACUAGAACAUUUUUUGACAGUUUUCUAUGCUUACUGUACUAUGACAUUUUAUUAUGCCAUACUAUAUUAUGACUUUUUUUGGUGAUUUUUGACCCUUGCUAUACUAAGACAUUUUUUUGACCACAUACUAUACUGUGACAUUUUGUGACAGUUUUCUAUGCCAUACUAUAUUAUGACAUUUUUUGAUGGUUUUUGACACCUUACUGUACUAGAACAUUUUUUGACAGUUUUCUAUGCUUACUGUACUAUGACAUUUUAUUAUGCCAUACUAUAUUAUGACUUUUUUUGGUGAUUUUUGACCCUUGCUAUACUAAGACAUUUUUUUGACCACAUACUAUACUGUGACAUUUUGUGACAGUUUUC